Brassica napus (rape) is the source of this 565-nucleotide long non-coding RNA. RefSeq lists it as uncharacterized. The transcript is spliced from 3 exons. Lineage: Eukaryota; Viridiplantae; Streptophyta; Magnoliopsida; Brassicales; Brassicaceae. The record is from RefSeq and is a predicted model, not a curated record.
GGACGGAGAAUUCACGAGGUGGAGGAAGUGAGGUGGAGGAAGCUGGACGAACAGACAGCGGAAGAGGCGGGAUGAAAAGGCGAAGGAGGAGGCAUGACGCUCAAGUUUGCCAGCGGUGGAGAGUUCAACAAGAAGAUGGCGGCCUCUAGAUUAGAGUGAUGAGAGGACGAGAUCUUUGUAGAAGCAGUUUUGAGUGAUGAGGUCUGACACAGAGGCCAAGCCGUGGACGUUAAUGGCAGCGUAGAAGCUGGAGACAGCUUCAGAGUUCAGACACAGAUGUGGGAGCUGUUCGGGACGCAACGUCGAUGGCUGUCUCCCACCACUCAGCUGCUUUUACAGACGGACUACAGGAUGUGAACUAUUGCCACCGAGUGACGGUUGUUGGUUUCAAACUAUUGCCAGAAAGGUUUAUUCUUUGGACUGGACACCUGAGAUGAACCAGAUUGUCAGUGCAUCUCAACAAGACACGCUCAGUUAGAAGAGAAAAGUGAUGGAAAAGGGAAAGACACAACCAAAGGGCCAAUUGAUAAAGUCCUGAAAAUGCAAUCGUUUAGAUCUUGAAAAG